RNAcentral lists this long non-coding RNA (522 nucleotides) under Vigna radiata. Its description in RNAcentral is "long non-coding RNA (VRAD_LNC017195)". The record is from RNAcentral. Lineage: Eukaryota; Viridiplantae; Streptophyta; Magnoliopsida; Fabales; Fabaceae.
GCGUUCUUAACCUGAUGAAGCAUUUCAGCAAAGAUUCAUUCUUCAUAGGAUCUGCAAUGUGGCAAGAGGUGCAGGCGUUGGCGAUCCUCUCGUAGGAUACCCAAAUUGUUUUUUUUCUCUCUUUUUUGUUUCUUUUUUGCGUUUUAUUUUUUCUUUUUUUUUUUGUUUUUUUUUUGACACAGACAUAACACUGGAUACACAAUGAUGUAUGGUACACGAUCUUUGCUGCCAAGAAAAACAUGCCAUUUAAACUUUUUCUCCUCGGAGCAUGCAUAAAGUUGCACUUAUUCAUUUGCCCCUUUCAUCUUUGGUUUACAUUGCAGUAGUUCACUUAGGGGACAUGUGGCAUUCAAGGUACCCUUACUCAUGCGAGAGAUGAACCACAUAUGGGAUACUGGUAAACAACAAAACAUCUUCCCGACCUUUAGCUCAUGACACUGAUUAAUAGUCCCAUCAAUUUCAGUUAAGACAACCAAGACUGGAUUCUCAGAGCAAACUUUGUAUCCCACAAAUGCAUUCAUG